UACAGAGGGUGCGAGCGUUGUUCGGAAUUAUUGGGCGUAAAGCGCGAGUAGGCGGCUUGUUAAGUCGCGUGUGAAAGCUCCCGGCUCAACCGGGAAAGUGCGCGCGAAACUGGCGAGCUUGAGUGCCGGAGAGGGUGGCGGAAUUCCCGGUGUAGAGGUGAAAUUCGUAGAUAUCGGGAGGAACACCAGAGGCGAAGGCGGCCACCUGGAAGGACACUGACGCUGAGACGCGAAAGCGUGGGGAGCGAACAGG
Molecule: ribosomal RNA, 253 nt
Filed under: uncultured bacterium
Lineage: Bacteria
Description: partial 16S ribosomal RNA
Rfam family: Bacterial small subunit ribosomal RNA
Source: RNAcentral